Molecule: ribosomal RNA, 198 nt
Filed under: Anchomenus dorsalis
Lineage: Eukaryota; Metazoa; Arthropoda; Insecta; Coleoptera; Carabidae
Description: partial 28S ribosomal RNA
Rfam family: Eukaryotic large subunit ribosomal RNA
Source: RNAcentral
GGACCAAGGAGUCUAGCAUGUGCGCAAGUCAUUGGGAUUUUAUAAUAAACCUAAAGGCGUAAUGAAAGUAAAUAUAUGUAAAAUUUAUUUUAUAUAUAAAGGGAAGAUGGGUGACGUUAUUUAUGUUACCUCGCAUUCCCGGGGCGUCGCGUAUUCAUUGCGAAUUGCGGCGCACCAAGAGCGUACACGCUGGGACCC